Molecule: ribosomal RNA, 374 nt
Filed under: uncultured organism
Description: partial 16S ribosomal RNA
Rfam family: Bacterial small subunit ribosomal RNA
Source: RNAcentral
GUAGGUGGCAAGCGUUGUCCGGAAUUAUUGGGCGUAAAGCGCGCGCAGGCGGUUCUUUAAGUCUGAUGUGAAAGCCCACGGCUCAACCGUGGAGGGUCAUUGGAAACUGGGGAACUUGAGUACAGAAGAGGAAAGCGGAAUUCCACGUGUAGCGGUGAAAUGCGUAGAGAUGUGGAGGAACACCAGUGGCGAAGGCGGCUUUCUGGUCUGUAACUGACGCUGAGGCGCGAAAGCGUGGGGAGCAAACAGGAUUAGAUACCCUGGUAGUCCACGCCGUAAACGAUGAGUGCUAAGUGUUAGGGGGGUUUCCCGCCCCCUUAGUGCUGCAGCUAACGCAUUAAGCACUCCGCCUGGGGAGUACGGCCGCAAGGCUG